GUUUGAUCCUGGCUCAGGACGAACGCUGGCGGCGUGCUUAACACAUGCAAGUCGAACGAUGAACCACUUCGGUGGGGAUUAGUGGCGAACGGGUGAGUAACACGUGGGCAAUCUGCCCUUCACUCUGGGACAAGCCCUGGAAACGGGGUCUAAUACCGGAUACGACUACUGAGGGCAUCCUCGGUGGUGGAAAGCUCCGGCGGUGAAGGAUGAGCCCGCGGCCUAUCAGCUUGUUGGUGGGGGAUGGCCUACCAAGGCGACGACGGGUAGCCGGCCUGAGAGGGCGACCGGCCACACUGGGACUGAGACACGGCCCAGACUCCUACGGGAGGCAGCAGUGGGGAAUAUUGCACAAUGGGCGAAAGCCUGAUGCAGCGACGCCGCGUGAGGGAUGACGGCCUUCGGGUUGUAAACCUCUUUCAGCAGGGAAGAAGCGCAAGUGACGGUACCUGCAGAAGAAGCGCCGGCUAACUACGUGCCAGCAGCCGCGGUAAUACGUAGGGCGCAAGCGUUGUCCGGAAUUAUUGGGCGUAAAGAGCUCGUAGGCGGCUUGUCGCGUCGGAUGUGAAAGCCCGGGGCUUAACCCCGGGUCUGCAUUCGAUACGGGCUAGCUAGAGUGUGGUAGGGGAGAUCGGAAUUCCUGGUGUAGCGGUGAAAUGCGCAGAUAUCAGGAGGAACACCGGUGGCGAAGGCGGAUCUCUGGGCCAUUACUGACGCUGAGGAGCGAAAGCGUGGGGAGCGAACAGGAUUAGAUACCCCGGUAGUCCAAU
RNAcentral lists this ribosomal RNA (770 nucleotides) under uncultured microorganism. RNAcentral's name for it is "bacterial SSU rRNA". It matches the Rfam family "Bacterial small subunit ribosomal RNA", at positions 11 to 799 of the family's 1533-position model. The record is from RNAcentral.